UACGUAGGUGACAAGCGUUGUUCGGAUUUACUGGGCGUAAAGAGCGCGCAGGCGGUCGAUCAAGUCGAGUGUGAAAGCCCCCGGCUCAACUGGGGAGGGUCAUUCGAUACUGAUCGACUCGAAGGCAGGAGAGGGUAGUGGAAUUCCCGGUGUAGUGGUGAGAUGCGUAGAUAUCGGGAGGAACACCAGUGGCGAAGGCGACUACCUGGCCUGUUCUUGACGCUGAGGCGCGAAAGCCAGGGGAGCAAACGGG
Molecule: ribosomal RNA, 253 nt
Filed under: uncultured bacterium
Lineage: Bacteria
Description: partial 16S ribosomal RNA
Rfam family: Bacterial small subunit ribosomal RNA
Source: RNAcentral